This is a transfer RNA of Ovis aries (sheep), 72 nucleotides long. It matches the Rfam family "tRNA". From Rfam's summary of the family: Transfer RNA (tRNA) molecules are approximately 80 nucleotides in length. Their secondary structure includes four short double-helical elements and three loops (D, anti-codon, and T loops). Lineage: Eukaryota; Metazoa; Chordata; Mammalia; Artiodactyla; Bovidae. The record is from Rfam.
UCCCUGGUGGUUCAGUGGUUAGGACUCAGCACUUGCACUGCCACAACCCAGGUUUGAUCCCUGGUAGGGGAA